RNAcentral lists this ribosomal RNA (728 nucleotides) under Eupulmonata sp. NZAC03011079. RNAcentral describes it as "eukaryotic LSU rRNA". It matches the Rfam family "Eukaryotic large subunit ribosomal RNA", at positions 396 to 911 of the family's 3401-position model. Lineage: Eukaryota; Metazoa; Mollusca; Gastropoda. The record is from RNAcentral.
UACGUGAAACCGCUCAGAGGUAAACGGGUGGAUCCGCAAAAGUCGGCCGGCAGAAUUCAGCGCGGCGCGCGGCUCCGGGGCUGCUGUGGUCUGGGAUCCCUUGGACCCUACUGUGGUGCUGCGCCGGGCCCCGCCGUGUGCACUUUCUGCCGGCAGAGAGCCACAACCGGUUCGGCGUUGUGGCGGUGAGAUGUCAGGUGGGGUUGUAGGUGGGGGCGCUUGCGUCCCUACCAGCCCUGCUUGUCGAGCCGCCUCCGGACCGAGGAACUGCCACGCGCUUCGAGGCCACCCUCCUCUCGGAGUGAGUUCGACUGGGAGAGACUGGGCAACCGUGUCUCCUGAACGCUUACUUUCGAUCAGCGCGGGGCUGGCCGGGCGCAUUCUGUGGGUUUGUGGCGAGUCUGUCGGCACUCCACCCGACCCGUCUUGAAACACGGACCAAGGAGUCUAACAUGCGCGCGAGUCAUUGGGUGGUACGAAACCCAAAGGCGCAGUGAAAGCGAGGUCGGUCAAACGCCUAGGUGGGAUCCGUCCCCUGAAGCUCUCUUCGAGGGUCAUUGGGGGGCGGCGCACCWCCGGCCCGUCCCGUCUGCGUCGGCAGUGGGGCGGAGCAAGAGCGCGCACGCUGGGACCCGAAAGAUGGUGAACUAUGCCUGAGUAGAACGAAGCCAGAGGAAACUCUGGUGGAGGUUCGUAGCGAUUCUGACGUGCAAAUCGAUCGUCAAACU